CGUAGGGCGCAAGCGUUGUCCGGAAUUAUUGGGCGUAAAGAGCUCGUAGGCGGUCUGUCGCGUCUGCUGUGAAAUCCCGAGGCUCAACCUCGGGCUUGCAGUGGGUACGGGCAGACUAGAGUGCGGUAGGGGAGAAUGGAAUUCCUGGUGUAGCGGUGGAAUGCGCAGAUAUCAGGAGGAACACCGAUGGCGAAGGCAGUUCUCUGGGCCGUAACUGACGCUGAGGAGCGAAAGCGUGGGGAGCGAACAGGA
This 252-nucleotide ribosomal RNA is filed under the name uncultured Leifsonia sp. RNAcentral's name for it is "partial 16S ribosomal RNA". It matches the Rfam family "Bacterial small subunit ribosomal RNA", at positions 526 to 777 of the family's 1533-position model. Lineage: Bacteria; Bacillati; Actinomycetota; Actinomycetes; Micrococcales; Microbacteriaceae. The record is from RNAcentral.